Molecule: ribosomal RNA, 511 nt
Filed under: uncultured bacterium
Lineage: Bacteria
Description: bacterial SSU rRNA
Rfam family: Bacterial small subunit ribosomal RNA
Source: RNAcentral
GAUUAACGCUAGCGGCAGGCCUAAUACAUGCAAGUCGAGGGGCAGCAGGGUGUAGCAAUACAUCGCUGGCGACCGGCGCACGGGUGCGUAACACGUAUGCAACCUACCUUUAACUGGGGAAUAGCCCUCCGAAAGGAGGAUUAACACCGCAUAACAUCACGAGACGGCAUCGCCUUGUGAUCAAACCUCCGGGGGUUAAAGAUGGGCAUGCGUCCGAUUAGCUAGUUGGCGGGGUAACGGCCCACCAAGGCGACGAUCGGUAGGGGGUCUGAGAGGAUGAUCCCCCACACUGGUACUGAGACACGGACCAGACUCCUACGGGAGGCAGCAGUGGGGAAUUUUGGACAAUGGGGGCAACCCUGACCGAGCAAUGCCGCGUGAACGAUGAAGGUCUUCGGAUUGUAAAGUUCUGUGAUUGGGGAAGAAUGGUAUUCUUAGGGAAUGAGGAGUACAUGACGGUACCCGAUUAGAAAGCCCCGGCUAACUAUGUGCCAGCAGCCGCGGUAAUUCA